Long non-coding RNA from Poecilia reticulata (guppy), 1054 nucleotides. RefSeq lists it as uncharacterized. The record is from RefSeq and is a predicted model, not a curated record. NCBI's taxonomy places the organism in Eukaryota, Metazoa, Chordata, Actinopteri, Cyprinodontiformes, Poeciliidae.
GGAACGGCAGAGGGGUGUUGGGUGUCUCAAGCCCAGUGUGAACAGCUGAAAGGUGUGACUUCACAGAGCUCGCUCCCCUCCCUGUCAGGGCCCUGAUUGGGCCAGACAGGAGGCGCAGGAGAGGCCCCGGGCUCCCUAAAGGACACCAACAGGUGGGAAGUCGCAUUGGAGGGGGCCCGCUCCUGGUAGGGAUAGAAAAGGCCGGUCUGCAUGGCCUGCUGCGGGCACAAUCCACCGGGCCAGAUACCGAGGAGAGCGGAUGAUCGCAAAGAGAGCUGAAGCGGACAGAUGAGUUGAGUGGAUAGAAGGCAAAUGGAGGCUUCAGGGACCUGACCAAAGGCAACCCUGAAGAGGACCUCCUGCUCUCAUUUCUCUUUCCUCCUUUCGCUCCCUCUUUCUCUGUGUUUGACUGUUUUCCCGCAUCUCUCUUCCUCUGCCUCUUGCAGUCGAAGCAACACGCCUUGCUGUGGCUGGUCAAACGGAACCAAGUCAGGUGUUUCAGUGAGGUUUGGUCCCCUUCAACCAGCUACUGCGUCGUGAAUUCUGUCGGCAGGGAAUCAGAGACACUGUCACAGCUCAUUGUGGACGUGGUAGUCUGAAUAAAUGUGACGUUUUUGUGUUACAGGCUAUUCAGAUUUAUUUUUGCUGCUUCGUUUUAGCUGUUUAAGAAUAGGAGUUUGUGCUUACAAAUCAAAUAAAGGGUCACUAACAAUGUACUUUCCUGACAUCUGCAUUUUUCUUUAUUCUUGUCUUAAAAUAAUCAAAUAUGGGAUUUUUAUGUUCUAAUCACACCUCUCUAAAUAGAAAAUACAAAAAAAAAAAGUUUUCCGUUAUCUGCUGUACAUACCCUUAUGUUGCUGAAACAGGAAAUCUUCAAUCACUUACAGUUAAUCACUAACUUUUGAAGCUAUAACUGUAUAGGAUACAACUGUAUCACGGAGAGCACGCAUGAUUUGUGUUUAUUAUGCGCAUCAAGCCAAUCCAAUUUGUGGUAUAUGUUGAAAUAAACUGUCCAUAAGUUGUAACAUUCUGGCAAUAAAUUCAAUUAAACUCA